CCCCCGAUAGCUCAGUUGGAAGAGCGCGAGACUGUAAUGGAUAAGAAACAAGUCGAUCUUGAGGUCGCUGGUUCGAUCCCGGCUCGGGGGA
This 91-nucleotide transfer RNA is filed under the name Puccinia graminis f. sp. tritici. It matches the Rfam family "tRNA". Rfam says of the family: Transfer RNA (tRNA) molecules are approximately 80 nucleotides in length. RNAcentral also lists the same sequence under 1 other name. Lineage: Eukaryota; Fungi; Basidiomycota; Pucciniomycetes; Pucciniales; Pucciniaceae. The record is from Rfam by way of RNAcentral.